UACGUAGGGGGCAAGCGUUGUUCGGAUUUACUGGGCGUAAAGGGCGCGUAGGCGGCGCGUAAAGUCGGACAUGAAAUCAUUGGGCUUAACCUGAUGGCUGUGCCCGAUACUUACGUGCUUGGAGUGCGGGAGAGGCAAUCGGAAUUCUCGGUGUAGCGGUGAAAUGCGUAGAUAUCGAGAGGAACUCCGGUGACGAAGGUGGGUUGCUGGGCCGACCCUGACGCUGAGGCGCGAAAGCUAGGGGAGCAAACGGG
Molecule: ribosomal RNA, 254 nt
Filed under: uncultured bacterium
Lineage: Bacteria
Description: partial 16S ribosomal RNA
Rfam family: Bacterial small subunit ribosomal RNA
Source: RNAcentral